RNAcentral lists this ribosomal RNA (314 nucleotides) under uncultured bacterium. Its description in RNAcentral is "partial 16S ribosomal RNA". It matches the Rfam family "Bacterial small subunit ribosomal RNA", at positions 499 to 807 of the family's 1533-position model. The record is from RNAcentral.
UUAUAAGAGACAGCAGUAGCCGCGGUAAUACGGAGGGUGCAAGCGUUAAUCGGAAUUACUGGGCGUAAAGCGCACGCAGGCGGUCUGACAAGUCAGAUGUGAAAUCCCCGGGCUUAACCUGGGAACUGCAUUUGAAACUGUCAGGCUGGAGUCUUGUAGAGGGGGGUGGAAUUCCAGGUGUAGCGGUGAAAUGCGUAGAGAUCUGGAGGAAUACCGGUGGCGAAGGCGGCCCCCUGGACAAAGACUGACGCUCAGGUGCGAAAGCGUGGGGAGCAAACAGGAUUAGAGACCCCAGUAGUCCCUGUCUCUUAUAC